This is a long non-coding RNA of Tachyglossus aculeatus (Australian echidna), 1235 nucleotides long. RefSeq lists it as uncharacterized. Lineage: Eukaryota; Metazoa; Chordata; Mammalia; Monotremata; Tachyglossidae. The record is from RefSeq and is a predicted model, not a curated record. The transcript has 3 exons.
CAAUCUAUGCAGUUUUCAACUCGGGUCACUGUCUCAACAUUCAUUAUUCAUCGCUUGAGAAAAGAUUGUGUGACAAAUCCCAACUGUUGGCAAAGGAGAGAACAGCAGCACCUGGAUGCCAGAGGAAAUGGAGAAGUCAACUAAAUUGUAGAAGCCCAAUUUAUACCCCAUAUGUGAUCCCUGGAUAGAGAAGCCACACUGGUAAUAGUGGUGACUUCAUUCCUGAAUUUAAAGCGUAUUAAACACAGCUAUAUAAAAACUAAACCAAAACAGAUACCUCCCCAUAAGAAAUAAAACAGCUAUAGGAGUUGGAAGACUAUCCAAAAACGGAUGAAAGAUGCAAUGUCGCAUUACCACUGAUGGCAUCGUAUUCUUGCUUCCUGGUGGAAUCAGGACUCGGAGAUCUGGUUUACGGUUGUUCAUCCCCAGAUUCAUCGGUGGAGGAGAUUUCGCUUGCAUAUUCUUGUUCAAAUUACCAGAGUUUUCGUAACCAUGCUAAGGGGCUACGUCUUCCAACUGAAGCUCUUCUGGAACACCAAAAGCAUCUCUUCUACCUUGGGACUGGAAUGCAGUGAUGCUUCCCAAAGCACUGAUUCAUCUCAGCCACAGUAUCUGCCCAACAGAACUAGAGGGAAUUUUUUAAGUCUUAACUUGACCCUUUCCUAAAAGAACAAUGGGUAUUUGGAUGGGUUGCCUUAUGCUUCAGAGGAUGGAGGCAAAUUGCCAUGCUCACUCCUUUCCUAAUGACAUGCUCAGCCAAAGAAAGUGGAAUUUUGGCAACCUAUUCUGCACCCAAAUCAGGGCAAACUGAUUGCACACUUCUUCUGAAUUUGUUUUGCUUCCUAUGCAGAAAAACAAAACCUCAUCUUGCCCGAAGGUAUUGCUGGGCAAGUCGGACUAACUCAGUUUUACAAAAUUGGGAUGAUAUGAGGACUUUGGGCAUUUAAAUGUUGAGCACAGUGAUAUUUGGGGAUCUGUGAGCAGCUUAUUUUCUUCUGUAAACCCAUCUUUUAGGUUGGAAUAUACUGUCUUUGACAGAAACAGGAACAAGCACAUUUAUUCUUCAUGCCUUAUUCAUUUACACAUUCCACUUUGUGCAAUACAGAAUGAAAGCCUCUCAUGAUCACCCACGUGCCCUGAAUCAUUUAAUAAACAGAACAACAAAAGAUUAAGAACAUUGUUUAAGUUUUUGUAAAGCCACCUAAGAAAAGGUAAAGAACCCAUUGCUUUUCAGU